CCUUUUGUCUACACUUCUUUGCUUGAAAUGACUUGGUCUGGUACAAGGCCUCUGGCUUUUGCUACUCUGUAAUACUGGAAUCUCUCUUGGACUCUUCUUGGAUGUCCUGUUGUUGGCCUGUGUCAUGGAGGUCCUGCAGUUUUGGAUCUGAAGGACCAGCGCCUUCAUGCACUCCAGCAUUCCAUCAAUGGAUUGGAUGUUGGGGUGGGUCAGUUCAAAGCCCUGGACCUGUGCCUAUCUGAGCUGGUAAGCCAGUCCAAGACUCUCCUACUGGCAUGCCCUCAGGCAGGCUCACCAGCAACCCCCUGCAGUCAGGGCCAGCUCUAUCCUGUUGUCCAGGCGUGGUGCAGGGCCUGCUUUCCCUUUGCAACUGGUGAGGGAUAGGGCCACUUCUCUCACUCUCAAGACCCCAGGCCAGCUCUCCUGCCUGCCACAGAUGGGGAGGGAUGAAGUAGGGAGGAGCUUGUCGCUUCCUUGACCACUGUGUGGCUUCUUAGCAUAUGUGUGUGUCUCUCCACAGGAAAGCAAGUCUAUCAACAGUGUUGGAGAUUUUCGGAUUGUAAUGCCAAGUUCAUUUUGAGCCGACUAGAAAUCGCAAACGUACAAUACAGAUGCUGCCAGGCGGACUUGUGUAACAAAAGCUUCGAAGACAAGCCAAACAAUGGGGCAAUCGCCUUUAUUAUUUUCCAACUUAUAUUCGUUUAGGAAACAAUAUAGUUCACUUGAAAUCUUGGAUAAGAGGGAGGGUUGUAAGCAGCACGGAAGAGCACCGAAGAGCACCGUGCACAUAGGGAAGGCCCACCUGCAGGUACAGAGUGAAGUGCGUGGGUAAAACACUAACAGGUUAUGUAAUCUUCCUUUGUCACUUCGGAGGGCUGGCUUUCAGUUUCAGCUUAAGUGGGUUUCCGGCAACCCUCAGGGAUAUCUCUUUGGUUCCCGGAAUGUAGCUGAGGAGUGAGGUCAGAAAGUACCUUUAAGUGAGUGGACCAGGAGGAUUCUCUUCAUUACUCUGACACACUCAAAACGCUUUCAUAACUUUUACAGGUCCUGAGCUGGUGUGCAAAUGUUCCAUAUGUGAGCUGUCAGUCAGGGGCGCUGAUUGUUCAUUUGCUUUAAAACAACAAAAACAAAAACAACAACAAAACAGUUCUGGGAAUGAAACCCAGUGCAUUGAGCAUGUAGGCAAGUGCUUUACCCAUAAGCCCCAGCUCCAGCUCCAGCAGCGAAUGAAGCAGCUGCAUUUUCAGCUAGAAAACAUAGGGAUUUGACCUACAUUUCAACAAGACCUCUGAACCAGAUGUGAUGAUGCUUGCUUAGUAUGUUUAGCAUCUCAGUGCUCUGGAGGCAGAGACAGGAGGAGGGCCAUAAGUUGAAGGCCAGCCUGACCUUCACAGUGGUCUCCAAGUCACCUAAAACUAUAUAGUAAGACCUUGCCUCAAAUGAAAAACAAAAUGGCGAGUGGUGGUGCAUGCCUUUAAUACCAGCACUUGGGAGUAGAAGCAGGUGCAUCUCCGUGAGGUCAAAGCCAGCCAGUUCCCGGACAGCCAAGGCUAUACAGAGAAAGCCUGUCUAUACAUACAUACAUACAUACAUACAUACAUACAUACAUACAUACAUAGAAAAGAAAAACCUCAAAACAACAAUAACAACAAAACAAAAAAGAAAGGAAACACACAAAACGUCUGUUCUUGUAGAAGUGUGGACGGGCGGCUCCAACCUGAAUUAUCCCACAUCUCUGAAUAUUGCCUGGGCUUUGCUAGCUUUUACUAGAAAACUGUAAUGGCCAACAUUUUUUCGAUCUUGAAAAAGCAGUUUAUCUUGACUGUCUUCCACAUAAUGGAAUAAUAAACACUAUGCUAUAGGACAGAUGUUUAAGUGUGCUUAUUUUAAAUGUCACAGAAGAGGAAGACCCUUCAGGUGUGCAUGAGCAUAGGAAGAACUAGUGAGACCAGACUAUUGCCAUUGGAGAUGUCCAAAUAUUUUCAUGAAUAGCAGAGGUCUACCACUGUGCUCUACCUGCUCGUAUCCAGCUCUCUGGCUUCUUGGUGUUUCAGCACAGACCACACAUAAUACGUUCACUGGGCUGUCAGUACAGUGAGGAACACUUAAGCUUUGGAAGCCUUUCUCCUGAAAAAGGAGAAAGUCAUUUUCCUGUGCAUGCUAGAGAGACGCAUAGACUUAACCACAUGUGAUCUUGGGACUCUGGCUGUAUUUUAGUACCCUAGCAGAAGGGGGGGUUUCUUUAUUAACAUCAGAUACUGGUUUUUUUAAAUGAUGUUAAAUUUUAAAAACUUAAACAAGAAAGCUUGUUAAAAAUAUUUCUUUUAUUUUAAUGAUUUAUUUUUAUUUUAUUUUAUGUGCAUUGGUGUUUUGCCUACAUGUAUGUUAGUGUGUGAGUUUCUGAUCCCCUGGAACUGGAGUCACAGACAGUUAUGAGCUGCCAUGUGGGUGCUGGGAAUUGAACCGAGGUCCUUUGGGAAAGCAACUAGUGCUCUUAAUUAUGGAUCUGCCUCUCUAGCCCCCAUCUUCUGCCUUUUAAAAAAAGAUUCAUUUAUUUUAUGUAUAUGGGUAUUUUGUCUGUGUGUAUAUCUACACACCAGAGAGAACACCCUGUGGUACUACAGUUUUGGAGGUGGUGAACAGUCAUUGCCCUUAACCAAUGAGUCAUCUCUCCAGGCCACGAAAACUACUACUACUACGACUAUUAUUAUUAUUAUUAUUAUUAUUAUUAUUAUUAUUAUUAUUAUUAUUAUCUGUUAGCCAAAUCAUAUGUAUCAUGUAUUAGAUAUGUAAUAAUGAUGCCUUUCUGAAAGUAAAAAUCUCAGCCAGUGAGGAGCUUGGUGAGUGGCAGAAUGUAACAAACAGCUCCUAUAAUGUGUUCAAUGUAGCAACAAAAAGAAAACAACCUUGGACACUUU
Molecule: long non-coding RNA, 2918 nt
Filed under: Rattus norvegicus (Norway rat)
Lineage: Eukaryota; Metazoa; Chordata; Mammalia; Rodentia; Muridae
Description: long non-coding RNA NONRATT018411
Source: RNAcentral